Esox lucius (northern pike) is the source of this 667-nucleotide long non-coding RNA. NCBI's taxonomy places the organism in Eukaryota, Metazoa, Chordata, Actinopteri, Esociformes, Esocidae. The record is from Ensembl.
GCGAAAGGUCCGGAUUAAGGAACGAACACUGAGUCCCCGGCAUUGGAGGUCACCCAUAAAAACGGGAAGAAAGCCUCUGGGAAUCUAUGCAGGCAACUGGAAGAAGUCCUCACAGAAUGGGGAGAGUAUUGUAUUGGGAGCAAUCCCUCAUACAAACAGAGGGACAACAUGGCCCCAUCCAAAAUACGAGUCGUAAUCUUCAUUAAGUUUAUGUGGAACGAGAAGUCUGGAGCCGGUUCAGACCUGGAAUAUGUCACAAAUUUCCAGAGGAUACACAAGUUUUUGAGGUAUUUGAAUGAGCUGUACAGCUCAAAGUCAUCCGGCGUGCAAAUCGAGGUGUCUCCACGUCGUCCACCUGCUCCAAAAAGAGAUUAAAUCCAUGGGAAAGGCGCUUCAAAGUCGUCAACAGGAGGUCCGGGCACAAAAAUCGGCUUCCAUCCCCACUGCCCAGGACGGUGCCCAUUGACCCUUCAGCCCCCAGAAGGAAGAUCAACCAGGUCCUGACCAUCUACAAUCUGUCAUCUCUACUCAAGUCUCUGCAAAAGAGUGCUGUAAAAGUAAUGUCUUGAAUUAUUUAAAUUGUUAUUCUUGUGUUUAAAAAAACUUCCCUGUCAAAAAUGGUGCUGUUUUUUAAAUAUCUGUGCAGGUUUCAAAAGGAAAAUAAAGU